Ornithorhynchus anatinus (platypus) is the source of this 138-nucleotide small nucleolar RNA. Lineage: Eukaryota; Metazoa; Chordata; Mammalia; Monotremata; Ornithorhynchidae. The record is from RefSeq and is a predicted model, not a curated record.
CCUCUCUCAGGACAACAGCUGGAGAAUUUCCAGCACUCUCCCAGUCUUGGCUACUGGAGGGAGAGUCAAGCAGAGGCCUACCCGUUCCAUUCCUAGUUUGGGCAGCGACUAGCAAGUGGAAGGCCAUCUGCUACAAGU